AGAAUCAACGCUGCGGCGUGCCUAACACAUGCAAGUCGAACGAGAAAGUGGGAGCAAUCCCAUGAGUAAAGUGGCGCACGGGUGAGUAACACGUGACUAACCUACCCUUGAGUGGGGGAUAACCUAGGGAAACCUGGGCUAAUACCGCAUAAUACCUACGGGUCAAAGGAGCAAUUCGCUUUAGGAGGGGGUCGCGGCAGAUUAGUUAGUUGGCGGGGUAAUGGCCCACCAAGACAGUGAUCUGUA
RNAcentral lists this ribosomal RNA (246 nucleotides) under uncultured bacterium. RNAcentral describes it as "partial small subunit ribosomal RNA". It matches the Rfam family "Bacterial small subunit ribosomal RNA", at positions 26 to 285 of the family's 1533-position model. The record is from RNAcentral.